UACGUAGGGUGCGAGCGUUGUCCGGAAUUAUUGGGCGUAAAGGGCUCGUAGGCGGUCUGUCGCGUCGGUAGUGAAAACUCAGGGCUUAACCCUGAGCCUGCUUCCGAUACGGGCAGACUAGAGGUAUGCAGGGGAGAAUGGAAUUCCUGGUGUAGCGGUGAAAUGCGUAGAUAUCAGGAGGAACACCGGUGGCGAAGGCGGCUACCUGGACAGAAACUGACGCUGAGGCGCGAAAGCUAGGGGAGCAAACAGG
This 253-nucleotide ribosomal RNA is filed under the name uncultured bacterium. RNAcentral's name for it is "partial 16S ribosomal RNA". It matches the Rfam family "Bacterial small subunit ribosomal RNA", at positions 524 to 776 of the family's 1533-position model. The record is from RNAcentral.